RNAcentral lists this ribosomal RNA (419 nucleotides) under bacterium. RNAcentral's name for it is "partial 16S ribosomal RNA". It matches the Rfam family "Bacterial small subunit ribosomal RNA", at positions 355 to 776 of the family's 1533-position model. The record is from RNAcentral.
UGGGGGAUAUUGCACAAUGGGCGAAAGCCUGAUGCAGCGACGCCGCGUGGGGGAUGAAGGCCUUCGGGUUGUAAACUUCUUUUGCUCUGAACAAGGCGCACCAUGGGGUGUGUUGAGUGUAGGGGUUGAUUAGCGCCGGCUAACUACGUGCCAGCAGCCGCGGUAAUACGUAGGGCGCGAGCGUUGUCCGGAAUUAUUGGGCGUAAAGGGCUUGUAGGUGGCUGGUUGCGUCUGUCGUGAAAGCUCAUGGCUUAACUGUGGGUUUGCGGUGGGUACGGGCUGGCUUGAGUGCAGUAGGAGAGGCUGGAAUUCCUGGUGUAGCGGUGGAAUGCGCAGAUAUCAGGAGGAAUACCGGUGGCGAAGGCGGGUCUCUGGGCUGUUACUGACACUGAGGAGCGAAAGCAUGGGGAGCGAACAGG